UCUUAACUACUGAGCCACCUCUCUAGCCCCCUCUGUUGGAAAUGUUAUCAGAUAAGAUAUCAAUGUAUAAUGUAUAUGAUUCUGACAGCUUAGUAUUUAAGUUACUACUCCAGUUAGUCUUGAUGGUAUAGGCCUAAAACAUAGCUGCUUUGUAUAAUGAAACACUAGGGUUGUGUAUUGAAAAUAGACUAAAGUAUAUUUGCCUCCUGCACACCGGUGGCAAUUAUGUGUGUGUAACUCAGUGGUAAAAUUUAUGAGGUAAAUUUUUGUGAUCAAAACAUAAAUCUCUGCUAACAGAUUAGAUUUGCAAUUGAAUUUCCAAUUUAAUUCAUUGUCUUCUUAAAUGAAGAAAAUUAUUGUAUGACAUAGUCAGAAAGUAAAUAAAGGACAACUGGAAGAGGGGCUGUUCCUAAUCUUUUGGCUGCAUAUGAUUCCCAUCCUCCUUAUUAGGCCUCCUUGUUUGACCUCAGGUGGAGUGGAUUAACUUAGUCCUGGAGUCAGGUGGAGUGGAUUUACUUAGUCCUGGAGUAACUUCAAGUGCCAGGGUAGAGGAAAUGGGGGUAAGAGCUGUGUGCAGGGAGUAGACUGGGAGGAAAGUGGCACUGAUAUUAGAUUGUAAAGUGAGUAAAUAAAUUAAUGAAAGAACCAGGUCCCUAAAAUAAGAAAUAAAACCCUCAAAAAUGAUAUAUAAAUUAUUUACUCAGUGUUCUUAUGCACUUAAUAUAGUAGGUGGUGAUCUGCAAUGAAAACAGAGAGGUAGGACCACAUACAAAUCUCAGAUUAUGGGUGUGAUUUUAUAAUAUAUAUUGUAAGAGAGAAUAAUCAUGUACUGGUUAUUACUGGCUAAGCACAUAUAGGCUAGUAAUGUCUUGCUUGUUUUGGUUUACUGCUCUAGAAUGAAUGGUUCAAAGAAUACAAGGUUGACCAAUCAGACAAUAAAUAGACAUAGCCUUUAAUAAUUGCAUUGGCACAGGCAUCAAAAGAAUGAGAGUAUAAUGUGAAAGAUGAGAGAAGUGGGAUGUGAGAGAGAUACAUCACUUGUCUUAGAUAUGUAACUCAAUAAAACCAAGACGGAACUGUGUAAUGUUUGAUUUUUUCCCCACUAUUCCAGAAAGCCUGCUAGUAGAGAUGAGUUAUUAGGCUCAUUUGUUUCUUUGGCUUAAGUGUAUUAAACACAUGCUUUUUUACUCUCAGCUUUAAAACAAACAACAGGAAAAGGAAACCACGUAAGUAAAAUUAAAAUAAAUAAAUAUAUAUAUAUAAAUGCAACCCUCAACAAAACACUAAAUUAAACACUUUGGUAUAAGCUAUGAGAAAAGUGAUUGCAAACAAUUGUCGAAAAAAUGAUGGUUUACAAAUUCAAUAUGUGGGGUCAUAGUACUUGAACACUGUUUUACAAUCAUCAGUGAUCAAAAAAAUUGACAAGAAAUAUACAGC
This 1437-nucleotide long non-coding RNA is filed under the name Mus musculus (house mouse). RNAcentral's name for it is "long non-coding RNA chr9:19118210-19119647". The record is from RNAcentral. Lineage: Eukaryota; Metazoa; Chordata; Mammalia; Rodentia; Muridae.